Non-coding RNA from Caretta caretta (loggerhead turtle), 390 nucleotides. The record is from the annotation of a RefSeq genome assembly. Lineage: Eukaryota; Metazoa; Chordata; Testudines; Cheloniidae.
CGUAGCAAGAUGAUCGCUCAGGUUCAGUUGAUCUGGCUGUUAGUGCUCUGGAUCCAAGAGUCCAGUGGGCAGAUUGUGCUGACUCAGACUCCAGAAUCCCUGGCAGUGUCUCCAGGAGACAGAGUCACCAUCAACUGCAAAGCCAGUUCAAGUCUCACCUGGAGUAGCUAUCACUUACUAGCCUGGUACCAACAGAAAUCAGGACAAGCUCCAAAGCUCCUCAUCUAUCAUGCUUCCAACCGUGCCUCUGGGAUCCCAGACCGGUUCAGCGGCAGUGGGUCUGGCACUGAUUAUACUCUCACAAUCAGCAGAGUUGAAGCUGAAGAUGCUGGAGAUUACUAUUGUCAGCAGUAUAAAAGCUCACCUCUCACAGGUCAACCAGAUCGCUGA